RNAcentral lists this long non-coding RNA (1522 nucleotides) under Salvia miltiorrhiza (redroot sage). RNAcentral describes it as "long non-coding RNA (SMIL_LNC005635)". The record is from RNAcentral. Lineage: Eukaryota; Viridiplantae; Streptophyta; Magnoliopsida; Lamiales; Lamiaceae.
UUGAAUCCUGCAGCUUAGGAGUGGAUUUCUUCUCGACGGCUAGUACGAUAGUAUCGGAGCCGCGAACACCGACGGCGGCGUUCCCCUUGCGCACGGCUUCGAGAGCGUACUCGACCUGAAAUAGGUGGCCGUCCGGCGAGAAAACAGUAAUCGCUCUGUCAUAUCGCGCCAUAUCUCAACAAUCUACCGAUCUGUCGGAAUCUGUUUAUAUUUCUUCGUUGAAAGUAGUACAAUUUUGUUGAUUCGAUGAGUGAGGAAAAAAUUGGGGAAGUUUUAAGAGAGCCAGUUCAACGGAGCUUGGGCGACACGACAAAUACGAGUGGGAACUUAAAGUUUGUGUUGUGUAGAAAUCGCGUAAGGAAUACACGAUUCUUGGGGGAAAAUGCCAUGGAAAAGGAUCAAUUUUUAUCAAUUAUCAAAUCUUAACCUAUAUGCGUACUCAAAAUUUACCUAACUAUUAAUAAUAUCAAAUUCAAAGUUGUCCCCAACGGACACCAAGGAGUGCGACCUCCUGUGUUGUGAACAGUGAGGUCCCGAGUUCAAACCCCAUUGCUUCCUCUCUCCAACUCCCUCAAAAAAAAAUAUAUAUAUAUAUUAAAUCAAAGUUUCAGACUAUUAAAGUUGUAGCAAAAANAUUCUUGAAAGUCUAUCUAUGUUUUGGAUUUAACAAAUGAUACAUAAAUCAGUAAUGACAAUAAUUCUCUUUUGAACAAAAUACCAUCCAUUUAUCAAGAGACAUCUCUCUGAUUUAUAUGAGUCAUCUGUGUUCACUUCAUGUUUUGCAAACCAGUUUGGAAAAGGUGUUCUCUAACAUUUUCUUCGCUUACGACAAUCCUAAGUUAAACAUUGCACAACUUCAUCUAUAUUCUACAAAAUCAACCCAAGCUUUAAAAUAUUUUCUUCUCAUCCACUGGCAAAACCUUGACACAGCAAUGUAAACAGCUAAACUGGUUACUCAAGCUAAGAGAGACCAAUAAUAGACAACGCUCAAAACGAAAUUAUAUUUGCCCUACUACUACAAAAAAAUUAGUAAAACAAAGACGCAGUCAGAUAACAGGAAAAAAAAAAUCAAAUUAAAAACCUCGAAAUAAAUUAAACCUCAAUAGCAAACCCUAAACCCUAAACAGAUUCCAUGAUACAUCUAAACCGCAAUAAAUUCACCAGACAGUGAAAAAACAAUAUUUCCCGAUCUGCAAUCACGUUGAGCGGUGCGUGUGAUACAGAGAGAAAACAAACCUCGAAUCCUGCAGCUUAGGAGUGGAUUUCUUCUCGACGGCUAGUACGAUAGUAUCGGAGCCGCGAACACCGACGGCGGCGUUCCCCUUGCGCACGGCUUCGAGAGCGUACUCGACCUGAAAUAGGUGGCCGUCCGGCGAGAAAACAGUAAUCGCUCUGUCAUAUCGCGCCAUAUCUCAACAAUCUACCGAUCUGUCGGAAUCUGUUUAUAUUUCUUCGUUGAAAGUAGUACAAUUUUGUUGAUUCGAUGAGUGAGGAAAAAAUUGGGGAAGUUUUAAGAGAGGCA